GCGGGUUUGGCGGAAUUGGCAGACGCGCACGGUUCAGGUCCGUGUGAGGAAACUCAUGGGGGUUCAAAUCCCUUAGACCGCACCA
RNAcentral lists this transfer RNA (85 nucleotides) under [Eubacterium] sulci. RNAcentral's name for it is "tRNA-Leu". It matches the Rfam family "tRNA". From Rfam's summary of the family: Transfer RNA (tRNA) molecules are approximately 80 nucleotides in length. Their secondary structure includes four short double-helical elements and three loops (D, anti-codon, and T loops). The record is from RNAcentral. Lineage: Bacteria; Bacillati; Bacillota; Clostridia; Peptostreptococcales; Anaerovoracaceae.